RNAcentral lists this transfer RNA (73 nucleotides) under Zootermopsis nevadensis. It matches the Rfam family "tRNA". From Rfam's summary of the family: Transfer RNA (tRNA) molecules are approximately 80 nucleotides in length. Their secondary structure includes four short double-helical elements and three loops (D, anti-codon, and T loops). The record is from Rfam by way of RNAcentral. Lineage: Eukaryota; Metazoa; Arthropoda; Insecta; Blattodea; Termopsidae.
GCCACGGUAGUAGAGUGGUUAGAACGCUGGCCUUGUAAUCCUGGGGUCUCGGGUUCGAUUCCCGGCGGUGCCC